GGCCCCCAACUGCCGCCCGCCCGCCGGCAGGGAGCGGCUCCCAUCGCCGCCCAGGCGUUAGCGAAAAUCGCGCGCACAGAGAGGAGCUUUCUCCUCUGCUAAAAAUAGGCUAUAAAGGAGUCGGCCUCAUGAUGGCUCCUUGAUUCAAUUUGCUGCAAAUUCUUUCCUGAAAGCCUUCCCCGCCUCACAUCCACACGCACAAAAAGGGGGGUGUCGAGGCACGAAGGGCGCGAGAGGGGGAGCAGGCCGAGGUGCACAUUUUCGGGAGACAACAACAACAUAAUUAGGGACCUAUGUGAAACAACAGUGUGGCUUGAACAGUAAAUACUUGGGUAAAAUACUAGGAUAAAUGAGCUGCCUUACAAAGGUCACAUGUGUUAUUACUUCACCACCACCACCACCACCUCCGGCCAUUCCAAAAUACCCAGCACACAAGAUCAGAGGCUGCACCAAACUUCAAGCAAAAAUUAGGCCCAUGAGGGGAGGCUCUCAGCUGGUGCCAUCCAGACGGAAGCACUUGUUGGCCACAUAAGUCAUCUUAGCACACAAGGCCCUCCUCUCCAUCUGUGCAGAGCACACUGCUUAUGACCUCUCCUCAUCAGUGUGAAGCUUGCAGUUUUCCAUGCUUCUGUGACUGAUUUCAUUACAACACAUUUUCCUUGGGGGGGGUCUUCAUUUAAAUUACAGAAGAGCCAGUUGUAUGCAAGCCUGAAAUCCCAGCCCUCAGGAGGGUGAGGCAAGAGGAUCUCUGUAAAUUCUGUGAGUUCUGGGCCAGCCUGGGCUACAUAGUGAGACCCUGUCCUAAAACAAAACAAACAAACAAGAAACACAACUAUAUUUUUUGGUUUUGCUGUCAUUGUAGUCAUAGGGGUAAACCCAGGGCCUUCACACUAAACUAUAGCCACAGCCCUUUUUCAUUGUUUAUUUUGAAACAGGAGCUUCCUCAGUCACUAAGUUACCCAGGCUGGGCUCAAAUUUGUGAUCUUUCUGCCUCAGCCUCCCCAAGUACCGGAAUUCCAGGCGUGCUCGAUCAUGCCCAGCACAACUAUCUUAUGAGUAUCUGUGUCUCUCAGGUUAUGGAAAUAUCAAGUUGUAUCCUGAGUUUGUCAUUUAGUCAGAACAGAAAAAGCAACCACGCACAUCAAAGAUUUCCCCAUCAAUCCCUUACUUCCAUUGACCAGGCAAGUAUUUCUCCAGGCAGCACUGAAGGCCUUCUAGUGUGUUGAUGCUUCUGCUAUUUGUUCAUUAAUUCAAGGAAUGUUUGCUGAAUGCUUAUUGUGCAGGUCUCUAUUAAGGAAGCUGUUUUUGUUGUUGCUGUCGUAGUUGCUGUGCUGGGGAUCAAAUACUGGGCUUCAUGCAUGCUAGGAAAGUACCAGUAAGCUAUAUCCCCAGCCCAGGAAGCUGUUCACAGUGAACCAAACACAGUGGAAUUUACAGCCUAGUCUCAAGUGGAGUGGGAGUUAGGAUGCACA
Molecule: long non-coding RNA, 1472 nt
Filed under: Heterocephalus glaber (naked mole-rat)
Lineage: Eukaryota; Metazoa; Chordata; Mammalia; Rodentia; Bathyergidae
Description: lncRNA (ENSHGLG00000026136.2)
Source: RNAcentral